This 363-nucleotide ribosomal RNA is filed under the name uncultured bacterium. Its description in RNAcentral is "bacterial SSU rRNA". It matches the Rfam family "Bacterial small subunit ribosomal RNA", at positions 29 to 384 of the family's 1533-position model. The record is from RNAcentral.
AACGAACGCUGGCGGCGCGCCUAAUACAUGCAAGUCGAACGAGAAGCUGUAGCAAUACAGUUGUACAGUGGCGAGCGGGUGAGGAAUACAUGGGUGACCUACCCUCGAGUGGGGAAUAACCAGCCGAAAGGUUGGCUAAUACCGCGUACGCUUCCCAGUCUACGGGUUGGGAAGGAAAGCGAUGCCGUGGGUAUCGCGCUCAAGGUUGGGCUCAUGUCCUAUCAGCUGGUGGUGGGGUAACGGCUCACCAAGGCAACGACGGGUAGCUGGUCUGAGAGGACGAUCAGCCACACUGGCACUGCGACACGGGCCAGACUCCUACGGGAGGCAGCAGUAAGGAUAUUGCGCAAUGGGCGAAAGCCU